UGAAAAUCUGGCUGUGAUACCUGUCACUCAGUUGAUCACCAGCACUGAUUCAGUUUAUCGGACUGGGUAAGUGUUAUGUCUCCUUUCUGAUUUACUAGUCACUGUGCGUCUUUCCCAGUGCUACCACUUGCCAAAGAUGAUGACCUUCCCUAAUGCAGGAGGGUCAUCCUUUGGCAAGAGUACAAACGAUCGGUUAGUAAAAUUCAAGUAUAAAAUAAAUAAAAUAAGCAUUAAAUGAAUUGCAUGAAGAUUUUUCACACUUCUCUAAUUACUAG
Unclassified non-coding RNA from Spermophilus dauricus (Daurian ground squirrel), 275 nucleotides. Its record names the gene 7SK. It matches the Rfam family "7SK RNA". From Rfam's summary of the family: 7SK was discovered as an abundant small nuclear RNA in the mid-70s but a possible function has only recently been suggested. Two independent studies have found that 7SK RNA binds the CDK9/cyclin T complex (known as elongation factor P-TEFb). NCBI's taxonomy places the organism in Eukaryota, Metazoa, Chordata, Mammalia, Rodentia, Sciuridae. The record is from Ensembl.